RNAcentral lists this ribosomal RNA (618 nucleotides) under Triticum aestivum (bread wheat). RNAcentral's name for it is "partial small subunit ribosomal RNA". Lineage: Eukaryota; Viridiplantae; Streptophyta; Magnoliopsida; Poales; Poaceae. The record is from RNAcentral.
AUGUGUAUUCGCCAAGGAGAAGAGCCUAUGGCAAAGCAUUUGUGCUCCUUCUUGGUCCAUGCGUGUGUGUGUGUGUGUGUGAUUGAGUCUCUCCCAUGUGUGUGUGUUCUAGAGAGAUGGAGAGAGAAACCACAAGAGAGUAGUGUAAGCUGUGAGACGCAGCUCAAGAUAGAAGAAGAGCGGCGCUGCGAGGAGGAGCGGCCCCAACAUACCAGGCCGGCCUGGAACCGCCCGGCGGAGCGUGGCAGAGCAGCAGCAAUGGGUGUGAAGCGGGCAACCCGGUCAUGCACGACAAACAGGAGGCCCCGGUACCUCGCCUUCUUCUACAGCAACUCCACUUCCUUCAUGGCUUCCAUCGUCAUCAUCAUCAUGCUGCUACCGCAAUGGCUGCCAAAAAAGGAGAAAGGGGAAUGGGAAAAAUGGUCACUGAGGGUGAUGAACAGGACGAUCAUACUGGAUUUGAUCGCUCUCCUAGUGGCCUAUACAGCUGGCUCCAACAGGGGGUGGAAGACGUCCGUGUAUGCGAUCGUGCUCAUCGUUGCCGUGCUGGGCUACUUUGUGAUCCAUAUGACGCUGUCAAGGAAACCCAAUCAGAGUGAUUCAUCAUCAUCAGUCUAG